Long non-coding RNA from Xenia sp. Carnegie-2017, 365 nucleotides. RefSeq lists it as uncharacterized. Lineage: Eukaryota; Metazoa; Cnidaria; Anthozoa; Malacalcyonacea; Xeniidae. The record is from RefSeq and is a predicted model, not a curated record. The transcript is spliced from 3 exons.
AGGGAAUGUUUGAAGCGCAUCUGAAAAGUUUCUUCGUUCAUUCCAACGACUCAAAAUAUAUCAAAACAUUUAAGCUUGAAAUAAUGACGAACAUCGCUUCGGAAAGUAAUAUAACGUUGCUAUUGCGGGAAUUUCAGUUGCAGUUAUAGUUUGAAGAGCUACAAUAUUUGUUCGUCAAUAACCUCUUGUUUCUGCGUCACCUCCCACAGAGUUCCUUUACCUUAAAAACUUUUCCUCUCUUUAAAAAUUGAUCCUCAUCAUAUAUAGUGGUUAAUCUCUUCGCACACAGUUACCCUUAAUUGCACGAACAUACAUAGCUGCCCUUUAUCCUUCAAAAUACAUAGUUACCCUUAUCAGGUGAGAGC